Molecule: ribosomal RNA, 440 nt
Filed under: uncultured bacterium
Lineage: Bacteria
Description: bacterial SSU rRNA
Rfam family: Bacterial small subunit ribosomal RNA
Source: RNAcentral
CCUACGGGAGGCAGCAGUGGGGAAUAUUGCACAAUGGGCGCAAGCCUGAUGCAGCGACGCCGCGUGAGCGAUGAAGGCCUUCGGGUCGUAAAGCUCUGUCCUAAGGGAAGAAUAAUGACGGUACCUUAGGAGGAAGCCCCGGCUAACUACGUGGCAGCAGCCGCGGUAAUACGUAGGGGGCGAGCGUUAUGCGGAAUUACUGGGCGUACAGGGUGCGUAGGCGGCCCUGCAAGUCAGGAGUCAAAUCCCUCGGCUAAACCGAGGUCAGCUCUUGUAACUGUCGGGCUUGAGUGCAGGAGAGAAGAGCGGAAUUCCUUAUGUAGCGGGGAGAUGUGUAGUUAUUAGGAGAACCACAAGUGGCUAAGGCGGCUCUAUGGACGGUAAAUUCCGCUGGGGCACGAAAGCGUGGGGAACGAACAGGAUUAGAGACGCCUGGAGUC